This 536-nucleotide long non-coding RNA is filed under the name Marmota monax (woodchuck). The record is from RNAcentral. Lineage: Eukaryota; Metazoa; Chordata; Mammalia; Rodentia; Sciuridae.
CCGCCCCCACCUGUCCUCCCACCUCUCAUCUUGUGCUAAUGGUUGAUUCUAUGCAGAGGUCAAGGUGGUCUUUAAAAACAUGAGUCAGACCAUAGCAAUGUGUGCUCAGAGCCUGGGGUCUAGGGGCAGGGGGUGCUGGGGGCUGCUCCCAGCGUCCAGCCCCCAGCCUCAGGCUCAGACAUCAUGCCUACCCUGCCCUCUGCCCUCCAUGGCUCCUGCAGGUCAUGCUUCUUGACCAUUCCAUGGCUGGGUGUCACCCACAGCAUGGGCUGUGUCUGCUCCUGUGGCUGAGCUUCAGGCCACUGUUCCCAGCAGCAGUGCCUGGGCAGGUCAGCCUCCAUGGAGAGGGUGGGGCUGGGAGAGGAGCCCAGCCCUUCCCACAGCCCUGCAGCCUGUAGCCAGGGGAGCCUGCCGGAGCUCUGCAGACGCUAGGAGCCAGGGCACGGAAGGAAGGCCCUGCCUGACCUCUGGGCUCUGGGGAGGAGGAGCUGUGCCUUGGAGCCGCAGUGGGACGUGAGGAGCCCAGCCCAAGGCGU